This 1004-nucleotide unclassified non-coding RNA is filed under the name Hevea brasiliensis (rubber tree). Lineage: Eukaryota; Viridiplantae; Streptophyta; Magnoliopsida; Malpighiales; Euphorbiaceae. The record is from RNAcentral.
GAAGAAGUUAAGUUGAGCAAAAGACAAUAAAUAGUUUAACAAACAAUGAAAGCCCAUGGAUGUAUCCAAGAAAAGAUAAUUUGCACCAUAAAAUUUUUACAAAAAAUUCUACCAUUCACAUUACAGUACUUUAAAAAAUUGUUUUAAUUUAAUAUGCAAAAGUUAAUCAUAUCAUGAAAAGAACUAAAUGGGCUGUCACCCUACUUCACUUUGAGGUUGCAAUUCAAAGUCCACAAAAAAACUAUUAUCGAGAAUAUCUACAAAAGCAAAAUAACCACACAAAAAUACUCAUCAUUCAAAAUGAAGCAUUUAGAAUCAUUUCUCUAUAUAUUUUUCCAAUUAUGUUAACAAAAUAAAAAAUAACUAAAUUUGACCCAUGGCAUCCUACAUCACUAUAUCAUUAUAUGUCUAACUCCAUAAGAAGAUAAGAAACGAGUAUUAAACUCAAUCUGCACAUUUUCCAAAUAGACACUAUUAAUUGCACGAGAAGUGGUCUAGCACCACAAUUCAUACAUUCAUAAUGUAGAAGCAACAAAUUCCCAAUACCAGACAGUUCCUGCAAGUAACAUAUGUAUUAACUAAGCAUUUUCCCCUUUACCAUUGAAAUGUAUAGACCGUCUAUCAUUAAUAUCCUUUCCCAAGAAACUUCCAUGCAAGAAAGGACACUUUAAUGCACUUUUGACCACUAAAGGAUUCUUACCUAGCUCAUCUCUCCUUUCAAAAGCUUUUCAAUAAGAUGAUAUUACAUAUAACUCUCUUUUUCUUGUUGACACGCCUUAAUUCUUGUCCUCCUCACAUGCAUUAAAGACUCUCAAGCAACUCAUCAAAUUCACGAGUCACUCCAUCCCACAAAAUUCAGAUUCUCUUACAAAACACAGGAUUGUUGUGUUUGACCUCCAUGAGUCAAAACAAUUGCUAAGGACACAAUCUCCAUUUCAAACUAAAAAAUUAGCAUUCUGAAUGAUUUUGAGGGAAGAAUUUCAAGACUAAGAACUACACCAAAU